Molecule: ribosomal RNA, 279 nt
Filed under: uncultured bacterium
Lineage: Bacteria
Description: partial 16S ribosomal RNA
Rfam family: Bacterial small subunit ribosomal RNA
Source: RNAcentral
UGCCAGCAGCCGCGGUAAUACGGGGGGGACGAGUGUUAUUCUAAAUAACUGGGCGUAAAGGGUUUGUAGGUUGGUAAUUAAGUUGAAAAGGAAAUAUCAGGGCCUAACCUUGAAAGUUGUUUCAAUACUGAUUAUCUUGAGUUUGGGAGAGGAUAGUAGAAUUUCUAAUGUAGGAAUAAAAUCCAAAGAUAUUAGAAGGAAUACCAGGAGCGAAAGCGACUAUCUGGAACAAUACUGACACUAAAAAACGAAAGCAUGGGGAGCAAACAGGAUUAGAUA